This 431-nucleotide ribosomal RNA is filed under the name uncultured bacterium. Its description in RNAcentral is "partial 16S ribosomal RNA". It matches the Rfam family "Bacterial small subunit ribosomal RNA", at positions 338 to 795 of the family's 1533-position model. The record is from RNAcentral.
CCUACGGGUGGCAGCAGUGGGGAAUUUUGGGCAAUGGCCGAAAGGCUGACCCAGCGACGCCGCGUGCGGGAUGACGCCUCUCGGGGUGUAAACCGCUGUCAGAGGGGAAGCGGUACCCUCAAAGGAAGCACCGGCUAACUCCGUGCCAGCAGCCGCGGUAAUACGGAGGGUGCAAGCGUUGUUCGGAUUUACUGGGCGUAAAGCGCGCGCAGGUGGGUGUACAAGUCGGAAGUGAAAUCUCGAGGCUCAACCUCGAGGCUGCUCCCGAAACUGUACGCCUAGGGACUGGUAGAGGCUGGUAGAAUUCCCGGUGUAGCGGUGGAAUGCGUAGAGAUCGGGAAGAAUACCUGUGGCGAAGGCGGCCAGCUGGGCAGUCCGACACUGAGGCGCGAAAGCGUGGGGAGCAAACAGGAUUAGAUACCCUUGUAGUC